This 253-nucleotide ribosomal RNA is filed under the name uncultured bacterium. RNAcentral describes it as "partial 16S ribosomal RNA". It matches the Rfam family "Bacterial small subunit ribosomal RNA", at positions 524 to 776 of the family's 1533-position model. The record is from RNAcentral.
UACAGAGGUCUCAAGCGUUGUUCGGAUUCAUUGGGCGUAAAGCGUGCGCAGGCGGUUCGUUGUGUCGGUGGUGAAAGCCCCGGGCUUAACCUGGGAAUGGCCAUGGAAACUGGCGAACUGGAGUGUGGCAGAGGGGGGUGGAAUUCCGCGUGUAGCAGUGAAAUGCGUAGAGAUGCGGAGGAACACCGAUGGCGAAGGCAGCCCCCUGGGCUAGCACUGACGCUCAGGCACGAAAGCGUGGGGAGCAAACAGG